This 318-nucleotide long non-coding RNA is filed under the name Cavia porcellus (domestic guinea pig). RNAcentral's name for it is "lncRNA (ENSCPOG00000034254.1)". The record is from RNAcentral. Lineage: Eukaryota; Metazoa; Chordata; Mammalia; Rodentia; Caviidae.
GCAGGGCGGCAUUAGGCAAUCGCUGUGGGCUGGAGGAGAGCAAAUGAAUCCAGGCUUUUUUCUUCACGUCGACCCCUCUGCCCGCUGACCCAGGGGAGACAGGAUUAAUUUAUCUUUCUGGGCUUGAGAUAUUAAAUAAGCAAUCACUGCCCUCAUCCAAAGCCGGUGGGUGUGUUCCUCGCCCAAGGAAUUCCAGAUUAUGCCAAGAGACCAGUGUCCUGAAUAACAGUGUUGUGGGAAGGGAGCCGCACAGACCUCAUGGAGACCUCAUCGUGUCCUGGGAGCCUGCAUGACGCCCUUGACCCUGUUCUGAGUGUG